UGCUCACUUAAAGAUCAUCUUUUUAAUGCC
This 30-nucleotide non-coding RNA is filed under the name Rattus norvegicus (Norway rat). The record is from RNAcentral. Lineage: Eukaryota; Metazoa; Chordata; Mammalia; Rodentia; Muridae.